UUAGCGGCGGACGGGUGAGUAACACGUGGAUAACCUACCUAUAAGACUGGGAUAACUUCGGGAAACCGGAGCUAAUACCGGAUAAUAUUUUGAACCGCAUGGUUCAAAAGUGAAAGACGGUCUUGCUGUCACUUAUAGAUGGAUCCGCGCUGCAUUAGCUAGUUGGUAAGGUAACGGCUUACCAAGGCAACGAUGCAUAGCCGACCUGAGAGGGUGAUCGGCCACACUGGAACUGAGACACGGUCCAGACUCCUACGGGAGGCAGCAGUAGGGAAUCUUCCGCAAUGGGCGAAAGCCUGACGGAGCAACGCCGCGUGAGUGAUGAAGGUCUUCGGAUCGUAAAACUCUGUUAUUAGGGAAGAACAUAUGUGUAAGUAACUGUGCACAUCUUGACGGUACCUAAUCAGAAAGCCACGGCUAACUACGUGCCAGCAGCCGCGGUAAUACGUAGGUGGCAAGCGUUAUCCGGAAUUAUUGGGCGUAAAGCGCGCGUAGGCGGUUUUUUAAGUCUGAUGUGAAAGCCCACGGCUCAACCGUGGAGGGUCAUUGGAAACUGGAAAACUUGAGUGCAGAAGAGGAAAGUGGAAUUCCAUGUGUAGCGGUGAAAUGCGCAGAGAUAUGGAGGAACACCAGUGGCGAAGGCGACUUUCUGGUCUGUAACUGACGCUGAUGUGCGAAAGCGUGGGGAUCAAACAGGAUUAGAUACCCUGGUAGUCCACGCCGUAAACGAUGAGUGCUAAGUGUUAGGGGGUUUCCGCCCCUUAGUGCUGCAGCUAACGCAUUAAGCACUCCGCCUGGGGAGUACGACCGCAAGGUUGAAACUCAAAGGAAUUGACGGGGACCCGCACAAGCGGUGGAGCAUGUGGUUUAAUUCGAAGCAACGCGAAGAACCUUACCAAAUCUUGACAUCCUUUGACAACUCUAGAGAUAGAGC
Molecule: ribosomal RNA, 934 nt
Filed under: Staphylococcus aureus
Lineage: Bacteria; Bacillati; Bacillota; Bacilli; Caryophanales; Staphylococcaceae
Also listed under: 1 other name
Description: partial 16S ribosomal RNA
Rfam family: Bacterial small subunit ribosomal RNA
Source: RNAcentral